UACGGGGGGGGCAAGCGUUGUUCGGAAUUACUGGGCGUAAAGGGCUCGUAGGCGGCCAACUAAGUCGAAUGUGAAAUCCCUCAGCUUAACUGGGGAACUGCGUCCGAUACUGAUUGGCUUGAAUCCGGAAGAGGGAUGCGGAAUUCCAGGUGUAGCGGUGAAAUGCGUAGAUAUCUGGAGGAACACCGGUGGCGAAGGCGGCAUCCUGGGUCGGGAAUGACGCUGAGGAGCGAAAGCCAGGGGAGCAAACAGG
RNAcentral lists this ribosomal RNA (253 nucleotides) under uncultured bacterium. RNAcentral's name for it is "partial 16S ribosomal RNA". It matches the Rfam family "Bacterial small subunit ribosomal RNA", at positions 524 to 776 of the family's 1533-position model. The record is from RNAcentral.